Molecule: long non-coding RNA, 412 nt
Filed under: Sorghum bicolor (sorghum)
Lineage: Eukaryota; Viridiplantae; Streptophyta; Magnoliopsida; Poales; Poaceae
Description: long non-coding RNA (SBIC_LNC010628)
Source: RNAcentral
GGCACCCCUCAAUCUCUAUGAUAAUUUCUUGUCUCCUCCAGGGGCUAGAGGGGGUCUCCUUAUAUAGUCCUCCCCUUCUAUGCGUUUUUGGGUCGAUAGGCGAGGUGGUACUAUGUUAUUCUGGAUCCAAUAGGUCGGUGGAACGUCGUGUGCGAAGAGAGUCCGGAACGGAGUCCAGAGGUGGGCGGGCGCCCAGGUCCUCAGGGCGGGCGCCCUGGGCCUGGCCCCUUUCGGGCUCCGCUUCCUUCCCGUGGCUUCUGGAGUCUUCUAGAUGGUAGAAAAUUGCGCGGUGGGUUGAUAUCUCUAUGUAAUCCUGACAUGUGGGCCUUUCUUCCUUAUUUCCUGAUAACCCCCUGCAGAAAUAGACAAACACCAAAACUCGUGGAAUUCUGUCAGAUAAAACCCUAAGUCU